CGAACGUUAGCGGCGGGCCUAACACAUGCAAGUCGAACGAGAAAAUCCCUUCGGGGGUGAGUACAGUGGCGCACGGGUGAGGAACGCGUAGGUAAUCUACCCUUUGGCGGGGGACAACAUUCCGAAAGGAAUGCUAAUACCGCGUAAGCCCACGUUCACUACGGUGAGAGUGGUAAAAGGUGCCUCAAAGCACCACCAAAGGAUGAGCCUGCGUCCCAUCAGCUUGUUGGUAAGGUAAUGGCUUACCAAGGCUAAGACGGGUAGCUGGUCUGAGAGGAUGAUCAGCCACACUGGCACUGGAACACGGGCCAGACUCCUACGGGAGGCAGCAGUGAGGAAUAUUGGGCAAUGGGCGAAAGCCUGACCCAGCCACGCCGCGUGUGGGAUGAAGGCCUUCGGGUCGUAAAGCACUGUGGGGAGAGACGAAACAGCGCAUCAGGAAAUGGAUGCGCCUUGACGGUACCUCCUUAGCAAGCACCGGCUAACUCU
This 489-nucleotide ribosomal RNA is filed under the name uncultured bacterium. RNAcentral's name for it is "bacterial SSU rRNA". It matches the Rfam family "Bacterial small subunit ribosomal RNA", at positions 30 to 504 of the family's 1533-position model. The record is from RNAcentral.